Molecule: ribosomal RNA, 253 nt
Filed under: uncultured bacterium
Lineage: Bacteria
Description: partial 16S ribosomal RNA
Rfam family: Bacterial small subunit ribosomal RNA
Source: RNAcentral
UACGUAGGGUGCGAGCGUUGUCCGGAAUUAUUGGGCGUAAAGGGCUCGUAGGCGGUCUGUUGCGUCUGGGGUGAAAGCUCAGGGCUUAACCCUGAGCCUGCUUCCGAUACGGGCAGACUAGAGGUAUGCAGGGGAGAACGGAAUUCCUGGUGUAGCGGUGAAAUGCGCAGAUAUCAGGAGGAACACCGGUGGCGAAGGCGGUUCUCUGGGCAUUACCUGACGCUGAGGAGCGAAAGUGUGGGGAGCGAACAGG